UCUGCAUUAAUAAAUUUGGACCAGGGCUUUCUACUGUGCCUCCCAACAAGUGCAUCAAGUUGAGGAUCAAGCUCUAAGUGAUAUUUAUUCAGAUAUGCAUUCAAUUCAUCAGUUCCAAGUACCCUCGCAAUUUUCACAAGCUGAUCAUGGUUGUCAUGGCCAUAAAAGAAUGGCUCUUUUCUAAAUAUCAUUCCUGCAAACAUGCAACCAAGGCUCCACAUGUCUAAAGAAUAAUCAUAGUCUUGUAAAUCAACUAGAAGCUCAGG
This 266-nucleotide unclassified non-coding RNA is filed under the name Hevea brasiliensis (rubber tree). Lineage: Eukaryota; Viridiplantae; Streptophyta; Magnoliopsida; Malpighiales; Euphorbiaceae. The record is from RNAcentral.